Molecule: unclassified non-coding RNA, 223 nt
Filed under: plant metagenome
Description: partial contains small subunit ribosomal RNA, internal transcribed spacer 1, and 5.8S ribosomal RNA
Source: RNAcentral
UUUCCGUAGGUGAACCUGCGGAAGGAUCAUUACCAUGUAAUUCAGUCCCCUUGGCUGUGUUAUAUAUAUACCCACUCUGUGCACCUUCUCCUGUUGCUUCCGCUGGGUGUGUAAUUCGCCCGGCGGAAGGGUAAAAAUAACCUCUGAGUAUUGAUGAAAUCUCUGUCUGAACCGAAUAGAAAGAAAAAUGUUAAAACUUUCAGCAACGGAUCUCUUGGUUCUC